RNAcentral lists this ribosomal RNA (415 nucleotides) under uncultured bacterium. RNAcentral describes it as "bacterial SSU rRNA". It matches the Rfam family "Archaeal small subunit ribosomal RNA", at positions 455 to 871 of the family's 1478-position model. The record is from RNAcentral.
GUGCAGCCGCCGCGGUAACACCGGCAGCCCAAGUGGUGGCCGCUUUUAUUGGGCCUAAAGCGUCCGUAGCCGGCCAGGUAAGUCCCUGUGUAAAUCUUCAGGCUUAACUUGAAGAAUUGCGGGGAUACUGCUUGGCUUGGGGCCGGAAGACGUGGAGGGUACUCCGGGGGUAGCGGUGAAAUGCUGUAAUCCUCGGGGGACCACCAGUGGCGAAGGCUCUCCACGAGGACGGGCCCGACGGUGAGGGACGAAAGCCAGGGGCGCGAACGGGAUUAGAUACCCCGGUAGUCCUGGCCGUAAACGCUGCAGGCUUGGUGUUGCACGCUCUACGGGGGCGUGCAGUGCCGAAGCGAAGGCGAUAAGCCUGCCGCCUGGGAAGUACGCUCGCAAGAGUGAAACUCAAAUGAAUUGACGG